This 521-nucleotide unclassified non-coding RNA is filed under the name Hevea brasiliensis (rubber tree). The record is from RNAcentral. Lineage: Eukaryota; Viridiplantae; Streptophyta; Magnoliopsida; Malpighiales; Euphorbiaceae.
AAAACACUUCCCAACAAAUACAUUAGUUGGUCAGUGUACUGAUCAUCUACAUUUCUAUAUGGUGAACUCGGCCAAUGAAAUCAAUCUUGUCUUAAUGUGAUAUGCCUAAUAUAUUCUCUGUUGCUUUAUUAUUGUAGAUCUCCAUCUCCUUCCAUAUUGUAUCAACAUCCAGUAGCUACUCCUUAAAAGCUAUUUGGUUCAUGGCUUCAUGCCUUUUAGGUUUCGUCAUUGAGUUACAGAUUGCAUAUAUCUCUCUUCUUUUUUCACGCCGCCCUUUAUCUUCAAUCUAAAACCAAUAGCUUGUGCCGAGUAGUUAGAGCCUCACCAGGGAUAACUUUUCAAUUCUUUCAUAGAGCUUUGUCUCCUAAACACUUUAAAAAUUUAAAGAGCCUCAAAUUGACAGUUCAUGGAGUACAUGAAGACUUCCCACAAGUUUCUAUACUGAAUUCUAUUCUUCUUCCUUAAAUCAUUUUUACUCGCAUUUAAUAUUUGUAAGGAAUAGUAGCUGUUUUAGUGACUAC